AACGAACGCUGGCGGCACGCCUAACACAUGCAAGUCGAGCGCACUUAUGAUCUUCGGAUUAUAGGCGAGCGGCGGACGGGUUAGUAACGCGUGGGAACGUACCCUUUACUACGGAAUAGCCUUUGGAAACGAAGAGUAAUACCGUGUACGCCCUUUGGGGGAAAGAUUUAUCGGUAAAGGAUCGGCCCGCGUUAGAUUAGAUAGUUGGUGGGGUAAUGGCCUACCAAGUCUACGAUCUAUAGCUGGUUUGAGAGGAUGAUCAGCAACACUGGGACUGAGACACGGCCCAGACUCCUACGGGAGGCAGCAGUGGGGAAUCUUAGACAAUGGGCGAAAGCCUGAUCUAGCGAUGCCGCGUGAGUGAAGAAGNCCUUAGGGUCGUAAAACUCUUUCGCCAGAGAUGAUAAUGACAGUAUCUGGUAAAGAAACCCCGCUAACU
RNAcentral lists this ribosomal RNA (439 nucleotides) under uncultured bacterium. RNAcentral describes it as "bacterial SSU rRNA". It matches the Rfam family "Bacterial small subunit ribosomal RNA", at positions 29 to 502 of the family's 1533-position model. The record is from RNAcentral.